RNA transcript from Glycine soja, 1237 nucleotides. RefSeq lists it as uncharacterized. Lineage: Eukaryota; Viridiplantae; Streptophyta; Magnoliopsida; Fabales; Fabaceae. The transcript has 6 exons. The record is from RefSeq and is a predicted model, not a curated record.
GGAACCGUCUCGUGUUCAUUAUCCACACUCACCACCACAACACGAAAACGAAAACGAAAACGACGACAAGUCGUUCAUUCCCUGCGAAAACCGAAUUACCGAAACCCUAAUCACCACUCCGAGAACCAAAGAUUCGCCCAAUCCGAAGACCCAAACCUCAAAAAAUCAGACCAUGAAAAGCGUAGAGGUGGCCAAGACGGUGCUCGAGGUCGCCGACGUGGCUUGGACCGCCGUCGAACACACCCACCAUUACCGCCACCGCUGCAGUCAUCCCGUCGCCCCCGCCGCCGCCGAUGUCUGCCCCUCCGACCAAGAUUUAGAGUCUCUGCGAUCAGAAAAUCGACGCCUCAGGAACUUGCUCGACUUGAAUCUGAACCUGCUCCAAAACCUCUCCAAGUCACCCUGCCUCGAUAAUUGCCCUCCCGAUUUGAAUGAGCGAUUAGUUGCUACCAUGAGAUCUGAUGAAUACUUGACUCGGCUCAAGUUCCUGCAACAGGAAACUGCUAGUGGAGGAAAUCAAUUUCCUUUCAAGGAGGCCACUGAGCUUGAUCACCGAUCAGCUGACAUUUUGGUCAACAUCGACUCUCAAGAACCCAGUUGGUGGGUUUGGGUUACAGAUGAGGUGGAUCCUAUUAAUGUUGAGGAAUUGAGUGGAAUUGAUGAUGAGAGUUACGUGGUCAUCAGCGAGGAACAUGUGGUUGAUGGUGUUGCCAACUUUAUGGCCAGAUGCAUUUUAUCAAACCCGAAAGCUCUGAAUUUUUCACCAGAGGAACUGCAGAAAGCGCUAUCAAAAGCAUUGCGUGGUACAACCAAACUGGAAAAGAUUUUAGAUAUUUGGGAAGCUGGAAAGUUGUUUUAUUGUCUGUCUACCUGGGGACUUGCUUUGGCAGGGCUUUACCAAAGUCGUGCAAUUUUGAGAGUUGCUGCAAAGGGUGUUCAUUCAGGAAGUAAACUUGCUCUCAAGGCUCUCUAAAGAUUGCUGUUCCAUGACCAUGGCAAAAUGCAAAUGUAUAAUGAAUGCUAGUGCAUGGAGUUGGCAGUUCCUUGUCUGACUAUAAACCUAUUUGUUAAUUGCUUCCUAUAAGAUCUAGCUGAUGUAAAUAAUUUGUAAAUAAAAUUAUUCGUUGUCUUAUCUAGCUGCGUAUCCCACUCUGGCUUCUAAUGCUGCAUCUACAGUGUUAUGUUGUACUGCAUAUUUCAUUAUUGAAUAAUUUAAUGCUUGUGUUUUUCUUACUCC